This 69-nucleotide transfer RNA is filed under the name Saccopharynx lavenbergi. Its description in RNAcentral is "tRNA-Phe". It matches the Rfam family "tRNA". Rfam says of the family: Transfer RNA (tRNA) molecules are approximately 80 nucleotides in length. The record is from RNAcentral. Lineage: Eukaryota; Metazoa; Chordata; Actinopteri; Anguilliformes; Saccopharyngidae.
ACUGAUGUAGCUUAACACUAAGCAUGACAUUGAAAAUGUCAAGAAGGCGCUUUAAAACGCCCAACAGUA